GGAUGUGAGGGCAAUCUGGCAGCAACAUCUGUCACCCCAUUGAUCACCUGGGUUGAUUCGGCUGAUCUGGCUGACUAGGCGGGUGUCCCCUCCCUCCCUCACCGCUCCAUGUGCAUCCCUCCUGAAGUUGCACCUCGGUUGAAGAGGAUGACCUUCCCCGAUAGGAGGACCAUCCUUUGGUCAAGGGUAUACAAGUAGCUGCGCUCCCCUGCUAGAAUCUCCAAACUAGUCUCAAAUCUGGUCUGAACCCUUGGCAGCUCCCUGUCAGUGUACUGCUGUAGUAAUUGUUGAAUGAUCUUUAGAAAAAUUUACUUUUGUGUAAUAUCAAUAAUGUUCUAUUUUUGAGU
This 347-nucleotide small nuclear RNA is filed under the name Echinops telfairi (small Madagascar hedgehog). Its description in RNAcentral is "7SK RNA (ENSETEG00000021809.1)". The stretch from base 1 to 290 matches the Rfam family "7SK RNA". Rfam says of the family: 7SK was discovered as an abundant small nuclear RNA in the mid-70s but a possible function has only recently been suggested. Lineage: Eukaryota; Metazoa; Chordata; Mammalia; Afrosoricida; Tenrecidae. The record is from RNAcentral.